This 518-nucleotide ribosomal RNA is filed under the name uncultured bacterium. RNAcentral describes it as "bacterial SSU rRNA". It matches the Rfam family "Bacterial small subunit ribosomal RNA", at positions 19 to 518 of the family's 1533-position model. The record is from RNAcentral.
AUGGCUCAGGACGACGCUGGCGGCGUGCCUAAUACAUGCAGGUCGAGCGAAUGAUUAGAGAAGCUUGCUUCUCUCUGAUUAGCGGCGGACGGGUGAGUAACACGUGGGUAACCUACCCUAUAGACUGGGAUAACUUCGGGAAACCGGAGCUAAUACCGGAUAAUACUUCGAAACACAUGUUUUGAAGUUGAAAGAUGGUUUCGGCUAUCACUAUAGGAUGGACCCGCGGCGCAUUAGCUAGUUGGUGAGGUAACGGCUCACCAAGGCAACGAUGCGUAGCCGACCUGAGAGGUGAUCGGCCACACUGGGACUGAGACACGGCCCAGACUCCUACGGGAGGCAGCAGUAGGGAAUCUUCCACAAUGGACGAAAGUCUGAUGGAGCAACGCCGCGUGAAGUGAAGAAGGAUUUCGGUUCGUAAAACUCUGUUGCAAGGGAAGAACAAGUAGCGUAGUAACUGGCGCUACCUUGACGGUACCUUGUUAGAAAGCCACGGCUAACUACGUGCCAGCAGCAGC